Molecule: long non-coding RNA, 576 nt
Filed under: Panax ginseng (ginseng)
Lineage: Eukaryota; Viridiplantae; Streptophyta; Magnoliopsida; Apiales; Araliaceae
Description: long non-coding RNA (PGIN_LNC006224)
Source: RNAcentral
UAAAGUGCAACAGCUAGCUAAGAUCUUCAUAUUAUAUAUAGCAGAUUCAGGAGACAUGAAAUUGCCCUAGAAUUUGCAUGCAGCAGCAGCUGUUAACUUACAUCAACCAUAAUACAUAACCAGAUGGUAUGGAGUUCCGUUAUUCUAAAACUGUAAUCUAUAUUAUUCUAUAUACAUAAUUACGCAUAGGUAGAGCUAGAACCAUACAUUAGAGAUGAAGAACGGUUCCAAAAAAUUUCUAAAAUCAAUAAUAAUCUUUGGUAUGUAUGCGAUUAUAAAUUCAGUGCACUAACUAGACAAGCUAGCUAACAGCCACAUAAAUCAAGCUGGGGAUGCUACGGAUUUAGAUAAUUCCUCGCCCUUUUUGCUUUCAUCCGUCACUGCUACUCGAGGUCCUAGCUUCAACAGUUCUGGCAAGACUUUGGAUUUUGAUAAUUCCUCAUCAUCGGCGUUAUCUCCAUCAUCUUUCACUCGAGGUUCUAGCUUCAAUAAUUCUUCUUCCGAAGGACCGGAACCAUUCCAAGCCUCACGUCUAAUACCAUUCUUUUGUUGAACACAAGGACCAUAAGCCCAACU